RNAcentral lists this transfer RNA (90 nucleotides) under Planctomycetota bacterium. Its description in RNAcentral is "Planctomycetes bacterium tRNA-Ser". It matches the Rfam family "tRNA". From Rfam's summary of the family: Transfer RNA (tRNA) molecules are approximately 80 nucleotides in length. Their secondary structure includes four short double-helical elements and three loops (D, anti-codon, and T loops). Lineage: Bacteria; Pseudomonadati; Planctomycetota. The record is from RNAcentral.
GGAGAGGUGUCCGAGUGGUCGAAGGAGCACGCUUGGAAAGCGUGUAGGGGGUUAUAAGCUCCCUCGCGGGUUCGAAUCCCGCCCUCUCCG